ACACAUGCAAGCCGAGCGGUAUGAUUCUUUCGGGAAUCAGAGAGCGGCGUACGGGUGCGGAACACGUGUGCAACCUGCCUUUAUCUGGGGGAUAGCCUUUCGAAAGGAAGAUUAAUACCCCAUAAUAUAUUGAGUGGCAUCACUUAAUAUUGAAAACUCCGGUGGAUAGAGAUGGGCACGCGCAAGAUUAGAUAGUUGGUGGGGUAACGGCCUACCAAGUCGAUGAUCUUUAGGGGGCCUGAGAGGGUGAUCCCCCACACUGGUACUGAGACACGGACCAGACUCCUACAAGAGGCAGCAGUGAGGAAUAUUGGACAAUGGGUGCAAGCCUGAUCCAGCCAUCCCGCGUGAAGGACGACGGCCCUAUGGGUUGUAAACUUCUUUUGUACAGGGAUAAACCUAGAUACGUGUAUCUAGCUGAAGGUACUGUACGAAUAAGCACCGGCUAACUCCGUGCCAGCAGCCGCGGUAAUACGGAGGGUGCAAGCGUUAUCCGGAUUUAUUGGGUUUAAAGGGUCCGUAGGCGGAUCAGUAAGUCAGUGGUGAAAUCUCAUAGCUUAACUAUGAAACUGCCAUUGAUACUGCUGGUCUUGAGUAAGGUAGAAGUAGCUGGAAUAAGUAGUGUAGCGGUGAAAUGCAUAGAUAUUACUUAGAACACCAAUUGCGAAGGCAGGUUACUAUGUCUUAACUGACGCUGAUGGACGAAAGCGUGGGGAGCGAACAGGAUUAGAUACCCUGGUAGUCCACGCUGUUUUCGAUGCUAACUCGUUUUUGGGUUUUCGGAUUCAGAGACUAAGCGAAAGUGAUAAGUUAGCCACCUGGGGGAGUACGAACGCAAGUUUGAAACUCAAAGGAAUUGACGGGGGCCCGCACAAGCGGUGGAUUAUGUGGUUUAAUUCGAUGAUACGCGAGGAACCUUACCAAGGCUUAAAUGGGAAUUGAUCGGUUUAGAAAUAGACCUUCCUUCGGGCAAUUUUCAAGGUGCUGCAUGGUUGUCGUCAGCUCGUGCCGUGAGGUGUUAGGUUAAGUCCUGCAACGAGCGCAACCCCUGUCACUAGUUGCCAUCAUUAAGUUGGGGACUCUAGUGAGACUGCCUACGCAAGUAGAGAGGAAGGUGGGGAUGACGUCAAAUCAUCACGGCCCUUACGCCUUGGGCCACACACGUAAUACAAUGGCCGGUACAGAGGGCAGCUACACAGCGAUGUGAUGCAAAUCUCGAAAGCCGGUCUCAGUUCGGAUUGGAGUCUGCAACUCGACUCUAUGAAGCUGGAAUCGCUAGUAAUCGCGCAUCAGCCAUGGCGCGGUGAAUACGUUCCCGGGCCUUGUACACACCGCCCGUCAAGCCAUGGAAGUCUGGGGUACCUGAAGUCGGUGACCGUAAAAGGAGCUGCCUAGGGUAAGAC
Molecule: ribosomal RNA, 1403 nt
Filed under: Chryseobacterium daecheongense
Lineage: Bacteria; Pseudomonadati; Bacteroidota; Flavobacteriia; Flavobacteriales; Weeksellaceae
Description: 16S ribosomal RNA
Rfam family: Bacterial small subunit ribosomal RNA
Source: RNAcentral